Non-coding RNA from Corylus avellana, 456 nucleotides. NCBI's taxonomy places the organism in Eukaryota, Viridiplantae, Streptophyta, Magnoliopsida, Fagales, Betulaceae. The record is from RefSeq and is a predicted model, not a curated record.
AGAGAGAGAGAGUGAUGGACAAACGGAGAGAGACAGAUGAGACUGCGAGAGAGAGAGAGAGAUGCGAUUCAAAGUUGCAGACGCACAACCAUGUAUUUUCUCCUUCUAGUUGCAGACGCACAGCCAGUUGCCGAGCAAGGAAGAAAGAAGAGCUUCAGUAUCAUCAUCCUGAGGAUGCAAGGUCUAAGUGUUUGUGGGAAAUAGUAACAUGAUAAAAUUGAUCAACAAUCAGAAGAUUUGAAGCAAAGGGUAAAAGGUAAAGAGAGUGGCGGUUCUGUAUAAGGAGAUGUCAGCAUUGCAUAGGAACAAGAGGAAAAAGAGAAUGAAGAAGAAAAAGAAGAGAGUAGUGGAGAGGAAGCAAAAAAAGAGGUAUUUGGGAUGCAAGGAGAACCUUCAUAUUCUUGCAACUAAACAACUCCUACUGAUUUUGAAUUGCAUGGAAGGGGAUAAAGCUGU